This 656-nucleotide small RNA is filed under the name Pongo abelii (Sumatran orangutan). RNAcentral's name for it is "retained intron". The record is from RNAcentral. Lineage: Eukaryota; Metazoa; Chordata; Mammalia; Primates; Hominidae.
AUGCUUGCCUUCUGCAGAGGAGAUGUUGUUCAUUUUCUAUUGGUAAAGAGAGAUGAAUCUGGAGCAAUACAUGUUACUAAGCAAAAGCAUCUUCACCUAUACUAUGACCUCAUCAACUUUACUUGGAUAAAUUCACGCACAGUUGUGCUCUUAGACAGCGUAGAGAAGUUGCACGUGAUUGAUCGGCAAACACAAGAGGAACUGGAGACAGUGGAGAUCUCAGAAGUUCAGCUGGUCUACAAUAGCAGCCAUUUCAAAUCACUAGCCACUGGAGGAAAUGUUAGCCAGGCACUGGCUUUGGUUGGAGAGAAGGCUUGUUAUCAAUCCAUCAGUAGCUAUGGUGGUCAGAUCUUUUAUUUGGGGACAAAAUCUGUUUAUGUGAUGAUGCUGAGGAGCUGGAGAGAGGUGAGUUCCAAGUAAUUUCACAUGUCAGAGUUACUGAAUUGGUAGCUUCUUAACAUUUCUGUUUUGACUUUUCAGAAGAAGAUGAUUUGGUAAGCUUCUUAAUUUCAGAAGUGUACAAGAAAACCAUGAUAGCUGUUAGGUACUUGAUUUGCUAGAACUGACAGUAUAAGUUAGAAUUAGGUUUGUCUACAUAUAUUAGAAAAUUCAAAAUAAUAGUGGCUUAAAUAAGAUUUCUCUGUCAUGUAAAAGCA